RNAcentral lists this ribosomal RNA (521 nucleotides) under uncultured bacterium. Its description in RNAcentral is "bacterial SSU rRNA". It matches the Rfam family "Archaeal small subunit ribosomal RNA", at positions 345 to 866 of the family's 1478-position model. The record is from RNAcentral.
AACCUCCGCAAUGUGAGAAAUCGCGACGGGGGGAUCCCAAGUGCCAUUCUUAACGGGAUGGCUUUUCAUUAGUGUAAAAAGCUUUUGGAAUAAGAGCUGGGCAAGACCGGUGCCAGCCGCCGCGGUAACACCGGCAGCUCUAGUGGUAGCAAUUUUUAUUGGGCCUAAAGCGUCCGUAGCCGGUUUAAUAAGUCUCUGGUGAAAUCCUGUAGCUUAACUGUGGGAAUUGCUGGAGAUACUAUUAGACUUGAGACCGGGAGAGGUUAGAGGUACUCCCAGGGUAGAGGUGAAAUUCUGUAAUCCUGGGAGGACCGCCUGUUGCGAAGGCGUCUAACUGGAACGGUUCUGACGGUGAGGGACGAAAGUUAGGGGCGCGAACCGGAUUAGAUACCCGGGUAGUCCUAACUGUAAACGAUGCGGACUUGGGGUUGGGGUGGCUUUGAGCUGCUCCAGUGCCGAAGGGAAGCUGUUAAGUCCGCCGCCUGGGAAGUACGGUCGCAAGACUGAAACUUAAAGGAAGU